Molecule: long non-coding RNA, 3122 nt
Organism: Callithrix jacchus (white-tufted-ear marmoset)
Lineage: Eukaryota; Metazoa; Chordata; Mammalia; Primates; Cebidae
Source: RefSeq, a predicted model, not a curated record
CGCACUCGCAUGGCCCGGCGGCACGCCUGCGCCUGCGCCUGUCUGGCCAUGCCUCCCCCACCCCCAGCAGCGUCUUUCUGCCUGUUGCGCCCGGGUGUGUGCGCUGGGCCGGGCAGUCAGUCGAGAGGGACUGGCGAGACUCACCCGACAGAGAUAGGAGAAGCCCUUGCCGUGUCCUGAGGAUGGGUAAGCAGCCCGGUGGAGAGAGCUAAUCAGUGAGAAACUGAGACUGCCUGCAGUCUUGGGAAGGAGCCACCUUACAGGCAGAUCCUCCAGCCUGAGUCAAGCCUUCAGAUGACUGCAGAGACAUCUUGACCACAACCUCUGGAGUGAUUCUGAACCAGAACCACGCAGCUAAGCCACUCCCACAUUCCUGACUGCCAGAAAUUGAGUAACAUAAUGACUGUGGUUUUAGGCUGCUAUAUCUGGAGCAAUUUGUUCAACAGGAGUAGUACCUACCUGAAGUAUUAAUAGUUGUUGAGACUCACCUUUCUCACCCUUCACUUGAUGGUGCUGUUGUGCAACUUCACACUCCUAUGGAGACACCUUAUCUCACCAUACACUAGGUGUGUAACUUCCUGCCUAGUGCAUGCUGGGAAUCAGGCCCUUGACCACAGUUUCACAAACCUCUAGCUGAUCUCUGGCUACUUGUGAGAUAAAGUAUUUUUACCCUUUAACAAAUACUUAAUUUUGAUAAACAUUUCAUUUUUCACAAAUAGGUAGAAAAAUAUUUGUCACAAUAUUCCAUCUAUAUAUCCCAUUAAGCAGACUAAAUAUCCAAUAUUACAUGCAUUUAUUGCUUGAUUUUGAAGACUAAAAAUCCCAUUAAAAUGACACAUGCUUUAAUAGGGGUCAUUAUGAUCAAAAUUUUCCAAUCAGUAUUAUUUUUAUUAACACCAUAAAAGCAUCUCAAAAAAGCUUCUCUUCUUAACUUUUUGUAAAUUGUGAUCAAGAGGAUUCAUAUAAAUCGCAUAAUUUCAACAAAAAUAUCUAUUUCUUGUGAAAAAUAUUCAUCUCUUCAAUUAUGAUGCAAAUUGGAAGGUUAUCCUUAUAAAUAGUAGUUUAUAGCCUGGUUAGCCAAUGACCAUUUAAACGUUUCAGUCUGGAAAGACACAUUUUCAAGAAGAAAAAUGUAGAGCUUGGGUUUUCACAAGAUGAUCUCAUUUAGAAUUUUUAACUUAUAGUUCAAUUAAACAAAGUAUCUCAGUUUAAUCUGCUUGUAUUUGAAGAUAAAUGUGCACAUUUUCUUUAUGCUUUAUCAAGGAAACAAUUUUUAAAACUUGAUGGAAUUCUGCUUUGGAUAUUUUUAUGAUUAGUCAUUCAUUGCUGCCCAGGAUAUUCUUAUACUGUUUUCAAAACAGGUAGUAAAUCCCACUAGUUCUAAAAGAGAAAAUGACAACUUUCUGAUUUAUCCUCCAACAAUUGUUACUUUUUGCCUCAUAAAUUGUUUCCAUUAAGACAAGAGAUAAAAAGCAAGAUUUGAGAGAGGUUCAUGGAUCAACUGGAACAAUCUGCUUAGUUCUACAGAAUGGAGUUUCUGGGCAUCAUUCUCCAUUUCUGUGCACAGAGUGCUGUGAUGCACAAGAAGAAACAGCUCAGUUCAGGCACAGAGUGCACUACCCUGCUGCUCUUUCAUCUGGUAGAUGAGAACGAAACGCCCUGACGCUGUCUCUUGGGCUCUUCUAUGUUUCUUCUAGAUUUCGGCCCUAAUUCUUCGUGAUCCUAUUGUUUUUAAUUGGGUUAUUUGUUUGUUUGUUUGUUUUGAGAUGGAGUCUUGCUCUGUUGCUCAGGCUAGAGUGCAGUGGCACGAUCUCGGCUCACUGCAGCCUCCACUUUCUGGGUUCAAGCGAUUCUCCUCCCUCAGCCUCCUGAGUAGCUGGGAUUACAGCAUGCCCCUCCAUGUCUGGCUAAUUUUUGUAUUUUUAGUAGAGAUUGGGUUUCACGAUGUUGGCCAGGCUGGUCUUGAACUCCCAACUUAGGUGAUCCACCUGCCUUGGCCUCCAAAAGUGCUGGGAUUAUAGGUGUGAGUCACAGCCCCCGGCCUUUUGUUUGAUUUUCUGAGACAGAGUCUCACUCUGUCACCCAGGCUGGAGUACAGUGUUGUGAUCACAGCUCACUUCAGCCUCCACCUUCCAGGCUCAACUCAUUCUCCUACCACAGCCUUCCUGCUAGCUGGGACUACAGGCAUGCACCACCACACCUGCCUGGCUAACUUUUAUUUAUUUAUUUGUAGAGACAGAGUCUCACCAUUUUGCCCAGGCUGGUUUUGAAUUCCUGGGCCCAAGGAUCCACCUGUCUUGGCCUCCCAAAGUGCUGGGAUUAUAGGCCUGAGCCACUGCACCAAGCUAAAUGGGGCCUUUUUAAUGGUGACAAAGACCAGGUGUUUUUCAGUUUUUGAGACUCUCAAUAUAUUUAAAAAAUAAAGAAAUACCAACUCAGGGUUAUAAAAAAUUUAAGUGUUAAAUACUUUCAACAUCCACAUUUAACAAAGUAUGUUUAUUAAACACAGAAAUAUAAGACAAUAUAAUGAUAUGAAUUAUAAGAUAAAGGAUUUGUGAGCGACAUUAAGUUCAUUGUAUAUAGUCAUUACUACUGUGGUCUGUUAAUGAGACACAAGUUUAAAGUUACUUUGAAGGAUGUCUUCUUUCAAUUCUCUUUGUAUAUCUCUGUAACUACUUCUGUACCCUCAGAGAUGAUGUUUCAGUUUAAACUUGUGAAUGUGAAAUAUGAGCCAAAAGACUCUCUGGGCCCUGAAAUGACCUUUGUAGCAGAUGCUGCCAGAGUCCUUCUCUUAUCCUCUCUGGACUCUUCACCUAACCUGAUGUCAGCUGCCAGUAUGUGCAUCUCCUUGCCUGAGGGCUUUUCUGGUGGCAGGAGUCCUUGCUACUCACAGAAAUGGUCACCAGAAGUGCCAGAAAAUUAAUUUCCCUUGGCCAGCAGUCCUCAGCCAGCUCCUCGCUGACACUGAUGUGCAGGUGUCUCCUAUGCUGGUUGCUGGAAUCAACCACAAUAGCAGCCUUCUUGAAAACAUAGCCUUCACUGGCUGCCUUCCUUUCCAUCUCCCUUCUUCAUUGCCCUACCUGUGUCUCCUGGGCUUUCCUUUCAAAUAAACAGCUUGCUCU